AGCAGGUUGGUGUAAAAGUAGCAUAUAAGACUCAUUAUCUUAUGAUAGACGUGCAAUUCGUCUACCUGCCCCCA
RNAcentral lists this transfer RNA (74 nucleotides) under uncultured Clostridium sp. RNAcentral describes it as "tRNA-Met(cat)". It matches the Rfam family "tRNA". From Rfam's summary of the family: Transfer RNA (tRNA) molecules are approximately 80 nucleotides in length. Their secondary structure includes four short double-helical elements and three loops (D, anti-codon, and T loops). Lineage: Bacteria; Bacillati; Bacillota; Clostridia; Eubacteriales; Clostridiaceae. The record is from RNAcentral.